Molecule: long non-coding RNA, 1072 nt
Organism: Gorilla gorilla gorilla (western lowland gorilla)
Lineage: Eukaryota; Metazoa; Chordata; Mammalia; Primates; Hominidae
Exons: 4
Source: RefSeq, a predicted model, not a curated record
AGGACACACAGGUCACCAAGGAAACGGCCCUGUGCAAACUCACACCAUCAUGUGAAGUGGACAUCUGCAUUCUAGUGCUACACAGACUACACCGUCUGCUUCAGAGAGUUUGCAGAAGGAUCUGUAGCUUUUCCAGCUGAGAAUGGGGUUCAGGAUACUGAAUCAACACAAGAAACGAGAGAAACUGGGGAUGAAGAGAACUCAGCUAAAUUUCCUACAGGAAGGAGAGAUUUUGACAAAGAAGACACUAAGGUUUUCAGAAAUUAAAUUGCUUUUUGGAAAAGGUGGGAGAUUCUGGGAACAUAGAAACUUGAAUCCAGUUUUCUUCAACUCCACAUCAAGACAGUUGCAUUGUGUGAGAAGAUAGCUACGGCCAUUUGUGAUAAAAUCACAUAUAUGCAAUUAUGUGAAACUAAUUGUGUGUAGAAAUAUGGGUAUAUAGAAAGGAAGACAGCAAGGUUAACGGUGAGCAGUGGCUAAAUGAACAAGAGAACAUUCAGUUAAGUAUUUCAUCUCCAAAAUGGUAUAAACUGCGGCAGAAAGUACUUUGUUGAAUCAAUAGUUUCGAGACAGACAUACAGUAGGGACAUCGAAGGUACAAAAUAGAGCACUGAUGAAGGAGUGAAUUAUCAUCUUCACAGAUGAGUAGAGAAAGAGAAGGUCUAAGUAUUGAGAUGAGAAUAUAGAAAUUUCUGAAGCACAACACAGCUCAGAAAUUCAAUCUGAAUAUAUUCCAAUCCAGUGCCUUGCAAUAGAUCCAUAAUGAUCGCCUAUCUUUCCAUCAUACAAAGCAAUGCAUAUCAUUUAAACAUUUUUCUAGCAUGAAAAUGUGCCUGGGUUAUGCAAUACACACUUUACCAAAAUAUGAUUCUGGUGGCUGUAAGCACUUAAUUGUAAUGACCUGUAAAAUGAGCAACAUUUUUAACUCUGAAAUUCUAAUCAAUAUUAGUUAAUGAGGUGUGUGACAACUUAUAAUGCUUUUAAAUACUCUUAGUGGCCAUCAUAAUACAAAUUCUCCCACUUACAGCAAAUUUAAUUUUAAUCCUUGCAAUAAUAUAAAUGAAAUACAUCU